This is a long non-coding RNA of Mycetomoellerius zeteki, 616 nucleotides long. RefSeq lists it as uncharacterized. The record is from RefSeq and is a predicted model, not a curated record. Lineage: Eukaryota; Metazoa; Arthropoda; Insecta; Hymenoptera; Formicidae. The transcript is spliced from 3 exons.
UCGCGGAUUUUGAUGAAAUUAGGUUUAUUCAACGAUUUUGCAUAAAACGAAAGAAUCUGGUAGAAAUAAGCGUCGCUCUGCCCCGCGAACCAAGAUAUUAAGCGUUAAAGUUGACUACUAUUCAUUCAGAUUAGGAAAUCUCAUACUUCAAUUAAAGGCAUCUUUACAUAGGAGCGUCGAGCGUCGAGCAUUGUGAGCUUAGCAUUCGCUAAAAACAGGUCAGGUGAUCAAAAUUGACGAAUAGCAAUCACACGAUGUUUGACGUUCGACGCUUGAUGCUGCCACGUAAGAAUACUUUAAUUCCUCUAAAGAUAAUUCUCUGCUUUAACUGUACAAGGGCAUGUUCGGAUUCCCAUCUGGGUGCUCCCCGGGUGUCAUGUCAUCCUUAUUGUUUAAUGUUUAAUAAACGUUAAACAAGGAUGACACGACACCCGAGAAGCACCCAGAUGGGACGCAUCUUGAAAGGUCUAUUUGCAUUGCCUGAAAUCCUCAAACAUCUUUGAACUUAAAAGGAGAUGGAUACAUUUGGACGUCGAAAAGAGAAAAAGUGAAGAUGCUGAGUGCAAAAAGUGCAAGCAAUGCGAACAGACCGAAAUUCUCUACUUUAUAAAUACAA